GAAUCUGCUCUGUGCAAAUGGUAUCGGCGAAGCAUUGUACAGAGC
This 45-nucleotide non-coding RNA is filed under the name Candidatus Timburyella stercoris. RNAcentral describes it as "uup RNA". It matches the Rfam family "uup RNA". Lineage: Bacteria; Bacillati; Bacillota; Clostridia. The record is from RNAcentral. RNAcentral also lists the same sequence under 1 other name.